Molecule: ribosomal RNA, 260 nt
Filed under: uncultured bacterium
Lineage: Bacteria
Description: partial 16S ribosomal RNA
Rfam family: Bacterial small subunit ribosomal RNA
Source: RNAcentral
AUUUCCUACGGGGGGUAGCAGUAGGGAAUCUUCCACAAUGGACGAAAGUCUGAUGGAGCAACGCCGCGUGAGUGAAGAAGGGUUUCGGCUCGUAAAGCUCUGUUGGUAGUGAAGAAAGAUAGAGGUAGUAACUGGCCUUUAUUUGACGGUAGUUACUUAGAAAGUCACGGCUAACUACGUGCCAGCAGCCGCGGUAAUACGUAGGUGGCAAGCGUUGUCCGGGUUUAUUGGGCGUAAAGCGAGUGCAGGCGGGUCAAAAA